RNAcentral lists this ribosomal RNA (307 nucleotides) under uncultured bacterium. RNAcentral's name for it is "partial 16S ribosomal RNA". It matches the Rfam family "Bacterial small subunit ribosomal RNA", at positions 506 to 807 of the family's 1533-position model. The record is from RNAcentral.
AGACAGCAGCAGCCGCGGGAAUACGAAGGGUGCAAGCGUUACUCGGAAUUACUGGGCGUAAAGCGUGCGUAGGUGGUGGUUUAAGUCCGUUGUGAAAGCCCUGGGCUCAACCUGGGAAUUGCAGUGGAUACUGGGUCACUAGAGUGUGGUAGAGGAUAGUGGAAUUUCCGGUGUAGCAGUGAAAUGCGUAGAGAUCGGAAGGAACAUCUGUGGCGAAGGCGACUAUCUGGGCCAACACUGACACUGAGGCACGAAAGCGUGGGGAGCAAACAGGAUUAGAUACCCCAGUAGUCCCUGUCUCUUAUAC